AGUGAACGCUGGCGGUAGGCCUAACACAUGCAAGUCGAACGGCAGCACAGUAAGAGCUUGCUCUUCCCGGUGGCGAGUGGCGGACGGGUGAGGAAUACAUCGGACUCUACUUUUUCGUGGGGGAUCACGUAGGGAAACUUACGCUAAUACCGCAUCCGCCCUACGGGUGAAAGCAGGGGAUCUUCGCACCUUGCGCGAUUGAAUGAGCCGAUGUCGGAUUAGCUAGUUGGCGGGGUAAAGGCCCACCAAGGCGACGAUCCGUAGCUGGUCUGAGAGGAUGAUCGGCCACACGGGAAAUGAGACACGGUCAAGACUCCUACGGGAGGCAGCAGAGGGGAAUAUUGGACAAUGGGAGGAAGCCUGAUACAGCCAGACCGCGUGGGUGAAGAAGGCCUUCGGGUUGUAAAGCCCUUUUGUGGGGAAAGAAAAGCAGAAGGUUAAUACCCAGCUGUUCUGACGGUACCCAAAGAAGAAGCACCGGCUAACUUCGUG
This 492-nucleotide ribosomal RNA is filed under the name uncultured bacterium. Its description in RNAcentral is "partial 16S ribosomal RNA". It matches the Rfam family "Bacterial small subunit ribosomal RNA", at positions 29 to 507 of the family's 1533-position model. The record is from RNAcentral.